CGAAAUCGGUAGACGCUACGGACUUAAAAUCCGUUGGCUUGACCGUGAGGGUUCAAGUCCCUCUACCCCCA
Molecule: transfer RNA, 71 nt
Filed under: Fossombronia pusilla
Lineage: Eukaryota; Viridiplantae; Streptophyta; Jungermanniopsida; Fossombroniales; Fossombroniaceae
Also listed under: 6 other names
Description: partial tRNA-Leu
Rfam family: tRNA
About the family: Transfer RNA (tRNA) molecules are approximately 80 nucleotides in length. Their secondary structure includes four short double-helical elements and three loops (D, anti-codon, and T loops).
Source: RNAcentral